AUUUUGUUAACAGCAGUCACAGAUGACUUGUCUAUGCCUCCAUUUUUCCAUUUCUUACUUCAAAAGUUUUGCUUGUGAAAAGGCACACAUUUGCGAAAGCCAUUUUCGUUCUGGCAUCUCGACUUACAUGAAGGUGACUUCUGCCUCCUCCUCCUUUCUUAAGGGAUACCUCCUAAUGAUUUAUCUUGGCAGUUCAACCUUCAAAGAGUUUGGGUAAACAGAAGGCAUUGGUUGUAGUCUUGGAGGACGGUUGUAUCGAAGGCGGUCAACGAGAGACCGAUGCCACUACCGACGAAAGCCUUCAAUAAAUCGUCCAUGGAGGAGUAUAUUCGAG
Salvia splendens (bonfire salvia) is the source of this 334-nucleotide long non-coding RNA. RefSeq lists it as uncharacterized. NCBI's taxonomy places the organism in Eukaryota, Viridiplantae, Streptophyta, Magnoliopsida, Lamiales, Lamiaceae. The record is from RefSeq and is a predicted model, not a curated record. The transcript has 3 exons.